RNAcentral lists this unclassified non-coding RNA (520 nucleotides) under uncultured Entrophospora. RNAcentral describes it as "SSU rRNA". It matches the Rfam family "Eukaryotic small subunit ribosomal RNA", at positions 569 to 1083 of the family's 1831-position model. The record is from RNAcentral. Lineage: Eukaryota; Fungi; Glomeromycota; Glomeromycetes; Entrophosporales; Entrophosporaceae.
CGCAGCCGCGGUAAUUCCAGCUCCAAUAGCGUAUAUUAAAGUUAUUGCAGUUAAAAAGCUCGUAGUUGAAUUUCGGGAUUGGCGCAUCGGUCGUGCCUCACGGGGUAUGAACUGGUGCAGUCAAUUUCUCACCUUCUGGAGAACCGCGAUGUCCUUAAUUGGAUGCCGUGGGGAACCAGGACCUUUACUUUGAAAAAUUGAGUGUUUAAAGCAGGCAUUUUUGCUUGAAUACAUUAGCAUGGAAUAAUAAAAUAGGACGGCAUGGUUCUAUUUUGUUGGUUUCUAGGACCACCGUAAUGAUUAAUAGGGAUAGUUGGGGGCAUUAGUAUUCAAUUGUCAGAGGUGAAAUUCUUGGAUUUAUUGAAGACUAACUACUGCGAAAGCAUUUGCCAAGGAUGUUUUCAUUAAUCAAAGAACGAAAGUUAGGGGAUCGAAGACGAUCAGAUACCGUCGUAGUCUUAACCAUAAACUAUGCCGACUAGGAAUCAGACGAUGUUAAUUUUUAAUGUAACUCGUUUAG